GAUGAAGAACGUAGCGAAAUGCGAUAAGUAAUGUGAAUUGCAGAAUUCCGUGAAUCAUCGAAUCUUUGAACGCACAUUGCGCCCUACAGUAUUCUGGCGGGCAUGCCUGUCUGAGCGUCACUUCAACCCUCAUGCCCCUAGGGCGUGGUGUUGGGGAUCGGCCAAAGCCCGCGAGGGACGGCCGGCCCCUAAAUCUAGUGGCGGACCCGUCGUGGCCUCCUCUGCGAAGUAGUGAUAUUCCGCAUCGGAGAGCGAUGAGCCCCUGCCGUUAAACCCCCAACUUUCCAAGGUUGACCUCAGAUCAGGUAGGAAUACCCGCUGAACUUAAGCAUAUCAAUAAGAGGAGGA
RNAcentral lists this unclassified non-coding RNA (348 nucleotides) under soil metagenome. Its description in RNAcentral is "partial contains 5.8S ribosomal RNA, internal transcribed spacer 2, and large subunit ribosomal RNA". The stretch from base 1 to 120 matches the Rfam family "5.8S ribosomal RNA", at positions 35 to 154 of the family's 154-position model. The record is from RNAcentral.